UACGUAGGGUGCGAGCGUUAAUCGGAAUUACUGGGCGUAAAGCGUGCGCAGGCGGUUCGCCAAGUCAGGUGUGAAAUCCCCGGGCUUAACCUGGGAAUUGCGCCUGAAACUAGCGGGCUUGAGUGUGGCAGAGGGGGGUGGAAUUCCACGUGUAGCAGUGAAAUGCGUAGAGAUGUGGAGGAACACCGAUGGCGAAGGCAGCCCCCUGGGUCAACACUGACGCUCAUGCACGAAAGCGUGGGGAGCAAACAGG
This 253-nucleotide ribosomal RNA is filed under the name uncultured bacterium. RNAcentral describes it as "partial 16S ribosomal RNA". It matches the Rfam family "Bacterial small subunit ribosomal RNA", at positions 524 to 776 of the family's 1533-position model. The record is from RNAcentral.